UGGGGAAUUUUGGACAAUGGGCGCAAGCCUGAUCCAGCAAUGCCGCGUGAGUGAAGAAGGCCUUCGGGUUGUAAAGCUCUUUUGUCAGGGAAGAAACGGUGGGGGCUAAUAUCCCUUGCUAAUGACGGUACCUGAAGAAUAAGCACCGGCUAACUACGUGCCAGCAGCCGCGGUAAUACGUAGGGUGCAAGCGUUAAUCGGAAUUACUGGGCGUAAAGCGUGCGCAGGCGGUUUUGUAAGUCUGUCGUGAAAUCCCCGGGCUCAACCUGGGAAUUGCGAUGGAGACUGCAAGGCUAGAAUCUGGCAGAGGGGGGUAGAAUUCCACGUGUAGCAGUGAAAUGCGUAGAGAUGUGGAGGAACACCGAUGGCGAAGGCAGCCCCCUGGGUCAAGAUUGACGCUCAUGCACGAAAGCGUGGGGAGCAAACAGGAUUAGAUACCCUGGUAGUCCACGCCCUAAACGAUGUCUACUAGUUGUCGGGUUUUAAUUAACUUGGUAACGCAGCUAACGCGUGAAGUAGACCGCCUGGGGAGUACGGUCGCAAGAUUA
RNAcentral lists this ribosomal RNA (548 nucleotides) under uncultured bacterium. RNAcentral describes it as "bacterial SSU rRNA". It matches the Rfam family "Bacterial small subunit ribosomal RNA", at positions 355 to 896 of the family's 1533-position model. The record is from RNAcentral.